CCUACGGGGGGCUGCAGUGGGGAAUAUUGGACAAUGGGGGGAACCCUGAUCCAGCCAUGCCGCGUGUGUGAAGAAGGCCCUCGGGUUGUAAAGCACUUUCAGUGAGGAAGAACGCCUGGUGGUUAAUACCCAUCAGGAAAGACAUCACUCACAGAAGAAGCACCGGCUAACUCCGUGCCAGCAGCCGCGGUAAUACGGAGGGUGCGAGCGUUAAUCGGAAUUACUGGGCGUAAAGCGCGCGUAGGUGGCUUGAUAAGCCGGUUGUGAAAGCCCCGGGCUCAACCUGGGAACGGCAUCCGGAGCUGUCAAGCUAGAGUGCAGGAGAGGAAGGUAGAAUUCCCGGUGUAGCGGUGAAAUGCGUAGAGAUCGGGAGGAAUACCAGUGGCGAAGGCGGCCUUCUGGACUGACACUGACACUGAGGUGCGAAAGCGUGGGUAGCAAACAGGAUUAGAUACCCUAGUAGUC
Molecule: ribosomal RNA, 465 nt
Filed under: Vreelandella stevensii
Lineage: Bacteria; Pseudomonadati; Pseudomonadota; Gammaproteobacteria; Oceanospirillales; Halomonadaceae
Description: partial 16S ribosomal RNA
Rfam family: Bacterial small subunit ribosomal RNA
Source: RNAcentral